This 253-nucleotide ribosomal RNA is filed under the name uncultured bacterium. RNAcentral describes it as "partial 16S ribosomal RNA". It matches the Rfam family "Bacterial small subunit ribosomal RNA", at positions 524 to 776 of the family's 1533-position model. The record is from RNAcentral.
UACGUAGGGGGCAAGCGUUGUCCGGAUUUAUUGGGCGUAAAGCGCUCGCAGGUGGUUCGUCGCGUCGUGCGUGAAAGGCCCCGGCUCAACUGGGGAGGGUCGUGCGAUACGGGCGGACUGGAGGCCAGUAGGGGGAUGCGGAAUUCCGGGUGUAGUGGUGGAAUGCGUAGAGAUCCGGAGGAACACCAGCGGCGAAGGCGGCAUCCUGGACUGGUCCUGACACUCAGGAGCGAAAGCGUGGGGAGCGAUCCGG